CGGCGCGACUCUUUCUCAAAAUUUAUCGUCGAUUGCAGCUACAGCAACUGAGAGUCUCAGGUGAUUAUGCGCAAAUGGCACACACGAAGCGAGGGAGAUUCACCGUGGAUCUGUCCAUGUGUACGCUCAGUAGCCUUCCUACAGAUACUCUCUCUGUGGAAAAAGAGAAUGAUGUGCUUUACCGCCUUUUAGAACUUCUUCCCGAGCGCUACACGAGCAAAGUUUUGGAAGAGCAGCGCAUUCCUGAGGGCCUCAUCGUGCAGAUUCUCAUCAAGGCACGCGCUAUAAUAGCCAGUGAGCCGAUGGUUGUCGAAGUAGAUUCCCCUGUUUACGCUUGCGGUGAUCUACACGGGCAGUACUACGACUUGGUUAACAUUUUCAAGCGGUGCCCACCGCUUGGAGGCACCGUUUUCGGAACUGAUGCGAAGAAGGCACGUAAAGAGACCAGCUCAUCGAUCGAUGAUAAAACAUACAGCUUUCUGUUCCUUGGCGAUUAUGUCGACCGCGGCGCUCGCUCCGUUGAGGUCGUUGUGACACUGCUCGCUCUCAAGAUUAUUUCUCCGCGGCACAUGACUAUGCUUCGCGGAAACCACGAGGACGAACAAAUCAUGCUCUUGUAUGGAUUUUACGACGAAUGCAAGAGACGCUAUGGCAUUAAACUUUUCAAAAUGUUCACCGAUUUUUUUCGUGUUCUGCCUGUGGCGGCCCUAGUGAACGGCUCCAUUUUCUGCGUUCACGGCGGUCUCUCCGCGGAGCUCCGCUUCGUGCGAGACAUCCCGGACACGCGCCCGUGCAACGUCCCGCACUCCGGCAUCAUUUGUGACCUUCUGUGGGCAGAUCCCGAAACUGAUCUGCCAGCUGGUGUGGACUGGGCUCCGAGCUCGCGCAGAAUUUCAUCUGUGUUUUCCGAACGGGCACUGGAGCGGUUUUUAGUUGAGAACGACAUUGAUUUGGUGUGCCGCGCACAUCAAGUGGUCGAAGAAGGAUUCCAGUUUUUCCCGGAUCACAAAAAGCGGCAUUUGCUCACCAUCUUUUCGGCAACUAACUACUGCAACGAGUUUGGGAAUAGAGGCGGCAUUUUACGCGUGGAUGAGAAGGGUGUAUGCAGCAUCAUCACGUUGGAACCACCAGACUUUGUCCAGCAGCGGGAUAUCAUGCUUUUUCGGGAUCCGCUUCCAAACCCUCUGAGCCACGACUGAAAUGGAAAAUAGAUGAGAGCGCACCAGGCGCCUUCUUCAGAUAGAUCUGCACGCACCACUCCCGCAGCUACUCAUUGUGUAUUUUUUUUGUGUUCAUGCUCGAGCGUGAAGGUCUUCACCGAGUAUCAUUACAAACACCAGUU
RNAcentral lists this unclassified non-coding RNA (1342 nucleotides) under Leishmania donovani. Its description in RNAcentral is "gene:LdHU3.15.0330(CDS-product:protein_phosphatas e_1_catalitic_subunit_putative)". The record is from RNAcentral. Lineage: Eukaryota; Euglenozoa; Kinetoplastea; Trypanosomatida; Trypanosomatidae.